RNAcentral lists this ribosomal RNA (870 nucleotides) under Triticum aestivum (bread wheat). Its description in RNAcentral is "partial small subunit ribosomal RNA". Lineage: Eukaryota; Viridiplantae; Streptophyta; Magnoliopsida; Poales; Poaceae. The record is from RNAcentral.
AUGCUCUUCGUCAUGCACCACGACGGCCGGUGCUCCCUGAUGGACGCCUUCUCGGGCGCCAUGACCCCCCACCCCGAGCUCGCCGCCCUCCUGCGGUACUACAAGGUCGACCCCCACGACGGGAUGUACAGGAGGAGCAUCGAGAAGGUGGUGGUCUCCGCGCCCUCGGCGGCGCUCCCCGUCAUCGCCGUCCUGACCAGCGACUGCAGAGUCAUCGUCUCGACCCGCCGCCCGGGCGGCGAGGUCAACUCCUGCCUGGAGCUCCUCGGCUUCGAGCUCGGCAAUGGCAGCCCCCGCAAGCCGACCCCGGCCGGAGCCAGGCCCGACGUGGUAGGCGGCGUCCCGCUGAUCGAAGGCAGUCGGGCACACGACUCCCACGACAGUUCUCGGUACAUACGCUACAGGAUUCAGAAAAGAUUUCCCGACAGCGUGGCCCGGCUGUACCUGGUCGAGUCCGACGGCAAGCUGCUGAUGGUGAGGCGAUGGGUGAGAUGGGACGCGCCGGAGAGCAUGGCGAGGCGGCGCGUGAGAUCGGCGGCGGACGGACCGGGUGGUUACAGGCGCAUGGAGCGGACUCAGCGGCUGGACGUGUUCGAGGCGGAGCUGGGAGACGGCAGGCCGCGCGUCGGCCGGUGGAAGAAGGUCUACGGCCUGGGUGGCCGGGCGAUCUUCGUGUGUGCACGGUGCUCCAAGUCUGCCCCCGCCGGCGAUGGAGCUCGAGAAGAUUGUGUCUAUUUCCUGAGACGCCAGUACCUUGGGAGGAAGCCCGGUGAUGGCUCGCUCGGGGACUCCGGCGUGUUCGACAUGAGACGUAAGACGAUCACGGCGUUGCUGCCGGAGUCGUCGGUGCCCGCGCCCCUGCCGGGAUAG